This 305-nucleotide ribosomal RNA is filed under the name uncultured bacterium. RNAcentral's name for it is "bacterial SSU rRNA". It matches the Rfam family "Bacterial small subunit ribosomal RNA", at positions 335 to 635 of the family's 1533-position model. The record is from RNAcentral.
CCCUACGGGGGCAGCAGUAGGGAAUCUUCCACAAUGGGCGAAAGCCUGAUGGAGCAACGCCGCGUGGGUGAAGAAGGUCUCCGGAUUGUAAAACCCUGUUGUUAGAGAAGAAAGUGCGUGAGAGUAACUGUUCACGUUUCGACGGUAUCUAACCAGAAAGCCACGGCUAACUACGUGCCAGCAGCCGCGGUAAUACGUAGGUGGCAAGCGUUAUCCGGAUUUAUUGGGCGUAAAGGGAACGCAGGCGGUCUUUUAAGUCUGAUGUGAAAGCCUUCGGCUUAACCGGAGUAGUGCAUUGGAAACUG